AAUCAACGCUGGCGGCGUGCCUAACACAUGCAAGUCGAACGCGAAAGCCGUGCAAGGGGUAAGUAGAGUGGCAAACGGGUGAGUAAGACGAGGGUGACAUGCCUUCGAGCGGGGGAUAACGUCCCGAAAGGGACGCUAAUACCGCAUGACAUCAUGCGUUUGAAAAAGGGGAGAUCAAAGCUGGGGAUCGCAAGACGUAGGGAUUGGAGAGGGGCGCGCGUCUGAGUAGCUGGUGUGAGGGGUAACGGAUCACCAAGGCGACGAUUCGUAUCCGGUCCGAGAGGGCUGACGGCCACCCUGGGACUUAGACCCGGCCCCGACUUCUACGGGAAGCACCCGUUGGGAAUUGUUCGCCAUUGGCGCCAGCCUUACUCCGCCCCGCCCCCUGGAGGCCGAAGAUCUUCCGGUCGUAAACUCCCGUCGGUCGGGACGAACGCUUCGCGGAUUAAUACCCCGCGGUAUUGACGGUACCCCUAAAGUAAGCCCCGGCUAACUCCGUG
RNAcentral lists this ribosomal RNA (500 nucleotides) under uncultured bacterium. RNAcentral's name for it is "partial 16S ribosomal RNA". It matches the Rfam family "Bacterial small subunit ribosomal RNA", at positions 32 to 507 of the family's 1533-position model. The record is from RNAcentral.